GUAGUCCACGCUGUAAACGAUGUCGAUUUGGAGGUUGUGCCCUUGAGGCGUGGCUUCCGGAGCUAACGCGUUAAAUCGACCGCCUGGGGAGUACGGCCGCAAGGUUAAAACUCAAAUGAAUUGACGGGGGCCCGCACAAGCGGUGGAGCAUGUGGUUUAAUUCGAUGCAACGCGAAGAACCUUACCUACUCUUGACAUCCAGAGAACUUAGCAGAGAUGCUUUGGUGCCUUCGGGAACUCUGAGACAGGUGCUGCAUGGCUGUCGUCAGCUCGUGUUGUGAAAUGUUGGGUUAAGUCCCGCAACGAGCGCAACCCUUAUCCUUUGUUGCCAGCGGUUCGGCCGGGAACUCAAAGGAGACUGCCAGUGAUAAACUGGAGGAAGGUGGGGAUGACGUCAAGUCAUCAUGGCCCUUACGAGUAGGGCUACACACGUGCUACAAUGGCGUAUACAAAGAGAAGCGACCUCGCGAGAGCAAGCGGACCUCAUAAAGUACGUCGUAGUCCGGAUUGGAGUCUGCAACUCGACUCCAUGAAGUCGGAAUCGCUAGUAAUCGUAGAUCAGAAUGCUACGGUGAAUACGUUCCCGGGCCUUGUACACACCGCCCGUCACACCAUGGGAGUGGGUUGCAAAAGAAGUAGGUAGCUUAACCUUCGGGAGGGCGCUUACCACUUUGUGAUUCAUGACUGGGGUGAAGUCGUAACAAGGUAGCCGUAAAGGGC
Molecule: ribosomal RNA, 720 nt
Filed under: uncultured Serratia sp.
Lineage: Bacteria; Pseudomonadati; Pseudomonadota; Gammaproteobacteria; Enterobacterales; Yersiniaceae
Description: bacterial SSU rRNA
Rfam family: Bacterial small subunit ribosomal RNA
Source: RNAcentral